Molecule: long non-coding RNA, 300 nt
Filed under: Olea europaea (common olive)
Lineage: Eukaryota; Viridiplantae; Streptophyta; Magnoliopsida; Lamiales; Oleaceae
Description: long non-coding RNA (OEUR_LNC004727)
Source: RNAcentral
UGUUGUCAAAUACUUCCUCUCUCCAUAGCACGUAGAGGGCAACGAUGAAGGCCACACUUAUUAUGCCGAAACAAGUGUAAUCGUAACAAUAUCCCACCACAAGUGCCAUCUUUGGAUAUCUUCUUGCUCAGUUAUGCUUCAUUGUGCUUACAUAUUUGCAAAAGAGGUAAUUUUUAAGUAGUUUCUUAUAUAUAGCUGGAGACUAACAGGUGCAUGCAGGCUCAUUGGACUGGUAGUUUUGACUUAUUGGUAAUUUAGAUCUGAGAUUAAUUAUGUAUGUAUGUGAGACAUAGAUUGUUU